This 341-nucleotide long non-coding RNA is filed under the name Nicotiana benthamiana. RNAcentral describes it as "long non-coding RNA (NBEN_LNC009916)". Lineage: Eukaryota; Viridiplantae; Streptophyta; Magnoliopsida; Solanales; Solanaceae. The record is from RNAcentral.
UUUUUUUGUUUUUUGGUCAAAAGUGGUGGGGCCCACUUUUGACAAUUGGUGCAAAAUUGGUGGAGUGAUUUGGGGAGUGAUUGGAGGGGAAGUGAUUGAGGCUGAAGAAUUUGCCUAUAAAAUGACAAAUGCUUCCUCCAGUUUAGAACAACCUCAGAGAGUAACCUGAGAGAGAGAUUAAAUACUCUCGUAAUAUCCUCAUAUUUUACCAUAUAGUGAUAUCAUCGGUUGUUCCCGUGGUUUUUUCCCGAAAGGGUUUUUCCACGUUAAAUCCUUGUGUUCUCAUUUUUACUUUUCUUCUCAUAUUUCUUUUCUUUAUUGUCGAUAUAAUUUUAACAAGU